RNAcentral lists this long non-coding RNA (279 nucleotides) under Manihot esculenta (cassava). RNAcentral describes it as "long non-coding RNA (MESC_LNC009203)". The record is from RNAcentral. Lineage: Eukaryota; Viridiplantae; Streptophyta; Magnoliopsida; Malpighiales; Euphorbiaceae.
UUGGCCCUAGUAAACCUCAGUGGGAGUCAGAGAUAGCAUAAGGGUAUGGCAUGCCAUAUACAGUUUAGCAGUACUGCGCCCUAAUGGGCUACAUGAUAUGAUAUUUUCGACACAUUACGUGUCAUACAGUUUCCCAGCUUUUUAGCCAUACAGGCACAGCAUUCGGCCCCCAGGCCAUACAGUUUGGCACUUUGUGCUAUACAGAUACAGUUUUCCCUUAGCUAGCUAGUUGAUCCUACGAAGAGUUUAUAGGGGGCUAAGAUUUAAUUAUAUGACUUG